AGACAGUCACUGAGUUUGGGGGAGGCGUGGGGAGGUGAGAAACAGAACCUGGAGACUUCAGUUUGUGGCAGUGUGUGACGGUGACCGGUUGGGGUGACUAUACUAUUACUGGGAUUAUUUUACUUCAAUAUUACGUUUGCAAGACAAUACAGCGGUACAGUUUUGUGCUCAUACGGCUUAUUAUCGCGUCUGCACAGCGUCUGGAAUGUGCCAGCCUUGAAACAAUCAAGAUCAAGAUUACGUUUCUGUUCAGCGGUAUCCCCUAGCGGCGAGCGUCCACAACAGGCGAGUUUGUUUACAGAAUUGCGUUUCAGGGACUGCGAGAAGCUGUCACAAUUAUUCGUCAUCUGCGACACCAUGGCUCCUAAGAAGACAGACCCCGAUGACAGCGUGGUGAGCGAGGUGGGAGGGGUCAACCAGCGGAGGAGGGGGACGGCGGCAAAUGGGGGGAGCACGACCCUUACUUUGAACCAGUGGUGACCUUGCCAGAAGUCCUGGUGGUCAGUGAUGAUGACCAGGAGGAGGAAAUGAUAAGACUGAGUUUCUACGUUUGGUCAGGCGGUGCAGGCUGUUUCGUUACCACAUCUCCAAGUUGUCCCCUGAGUGGAAGGAACGGGGCACGGGGGACAUUGAGAUUCUGAAGAACAAUUAGAAGAAGGCUGUGGAGUUGGCUCAGCAGCAGAAUUAAUGCCAGUGGCUGGGUUCAGAUCCUCCAAGACACACAGACACACACACAGCAGCCCCUCCACCUCCUCAGCCCCUGACACAGCCCCUGACAGCCCCACAGCCUUCAGACACCACCAAAACACCACCACAGACCUCUCACACAGCCCCACACACCACCACAAGACACACUAGACCCCCAGUCCCCCAGUCCCCCACAGCCCCACAACUCACAGAAAUGAAGCCAAAGGAAGGGACUAUGUUUUGCUUCACCCAGUCCACCCAGUACAGCCUACAGAGAGGGGCUAGUCCCAGUGAAGUCACAGAAUAUAGUCUUGAUUCUUCCUACAGUUUGAAGGUGGUGACACGGAGAGCAGGCGGGGGAAACCUUGGGAGACUUCUGUAGCUCAGCAGCAAAAAUCUCACUGGAACCUCGUGACUGACUGGUGGUGGGGACUGCAGGAACCAACAUUCAGUUGCAUCACCCUUAUGCAGACGUGUCCUGUCUGCAGUCUGUGAUGUCAGGAAGAGCCAAACGGAGGGCACCUGCAGCCAGUGCUGGGCAUCCUGCUGCUGUACAAGUGUCACAAUCCAUGUGCCACAGCAGGUCAUGUCAGUUAACUCUGCCAGUGCAUUGCUGUAUGACUUAAAUAAAUUUGUGACAAUUCUUAUAUAUUUCCCAAAUAAAUUUGUGACAAUUCUUAUAUAUUUCCCAUAUAUGAGUUUGCAUAUAGUGGUGUACUGUAAAAUAUUUGGUGGUAACAGUUCAUGGUGGUAACAGUUCAUGCCCAAGUUUAACAUACAAUUUGCACGUAGAAGCCCUGUCCGAGCAACUCUGGUGUCGCUCGGACGGGGCUUCUUUGUGCAAAUUGUAUGUUAAACUUGGUGUAAAAUUUUGGAGCAAUCCUGGCUUUUUUUUUUACCUGGAGAGCAUGAACUGUACUCCCAGAAAAGUUGUUUAUUUGCCAAAGAUAUUAUUAUGUUCAAAAUGGCAUGUUGAAUUUUUAUUGUUUUACUGCAUCUUUCCAGUGUAUGUCAGUGAGUAAUACACAACAUGAUAUAAUAAACAUG
Molecule: long non-coding RNA, 1734 nt
Organism: Scylla paramamosain (green mud crab)
Lineage: Eukaryota; Metazoa; Arthropoda; Malacostraca; Decapoda; Portunidae
Exons: 7
Source: RefSeq, a predicted model, not a curated record